RNAcentral lists this long non-coding RNA (701 nucleotides) under Mytilus galloprovincialis (Mediterranean mussel). Lineage: Eukaryota; Metazoa; Mollusca; Bivalvia; Mytilida; Mytilidae. The record is from RNAcentral.
UUUUAAAGUAUCUAUGAGAAAACAAAUUAUAAAAAAUUUGGUUAUAGACAAAUUAGUUGACGCAGAAAUUUUAGGUGAAGAGGCUCUUGAACUUAAGGUCGAAAAUGUAGAUGCCUUUAAAUUAAAACAGCUUGAAUUAGAACAUGAAUUUAAAUUAAAACAAGCAGAACUGGAAAUGAAGGAAAGGUUAGAAAUGGAAAAAAAGAAAAGAAGAUGAAUUUAAAUUAAAAGAACUGGAAAUGAAGGAGAGGGAGAAAAUAAAAGAAGAUGAAUUAAAAUUAAAAGAACUUGAAAUGAGAGAAAGGCUAGAGAUGGAAAAACUGAAAAUUGAAAUGGUCAAAGAAGAAAGCAACACUAAAGUCCAGUCAAAAUCAGAUUAUUUUGAUGCAGCAAAAAAUAUACGUUUGGUUCCCAGAUUUUGUGAAAAAACAGUCGAUAAAUAUUUUCCACAGUUUGAGAAAAUUGCUCAAUAAUUUGAAAUGGCCAAAGCCAUAUUGGACUACAAUGCUACAAAGUGUUUUUGAGGGUAAGGCCGCUGAAAUAUACUCCGCACUUCCAUCAGAAAAAAGUUCCGAUUAUGACACGGUGAAAACAGGAAGUUUUGAAAGCUUAUGAGCUAGUACCAGAAGCAUAUAGACAGAAAUUUAGAUCUUAUAAAAAGUUUGAUUCACAAACCUAUGUGGAAUUUGCUCGGGAAAAAG